GGACGGCAGACGUUCCAACGCUUCGAUAAGUUCAAUGACAAAUACAAUCCGGUGGGUGCGAGUGAGCUUCGGGACCUCUACCUAAAAACAGACAACUACAUUAACGGAGAGUAUUUUGCCACUAUCAUCAAGGAGGUGGGUGCAGACCUGGUGGACGCCAAGUAUCAGCAUGCGGAGCCCCGCUUGUCCAUCUACGGUCGCAGUCCAGAUGAGUGGAGCAAACUCUCCUCUUGGUUUGUCGGCAACCGUAUUUAUUGCCCCAACAUGACAUGGAUGAUCCAAGUCCCCAGGAUCUAGGAACGAGGCAUGAAUACAUUUUUGUUUCGCCCCCAUUGUGGUGAGGCUGGGGCUCUCACUCACCUCAUGACAGCCUUUAUGAUAGCGGACAAUAUUUCGCACGGCCUGAACUUAAAGAAGCCCUGCAGAACUGUCUUCAUAGACCAGGCUAAAUUCAACUGGCAGAAAGAUCUACUUACCUCUAUGUCCCGAGUGAUGGGAUUACAAGGGAAUCUUUACUUUCUUCGGUGUUUUGAGUGAUGGGGAAAAGUUCAAGACAGAGUUUCUUUGUGUAUCUCUGUAGACCAGGCUGGCCUUCAGCUCCAAGAUCCACCUGCCUCUGCCUCCUAAGUGCUGGGAUUGAAGGUACAUGUCAUGAUUCUAUAUUAGAGCCUGUAACAGAUGAACCACAACAUCCAUUU
This 698-nucleotide long non-coding RNA is filed under the name Rattus norvegicus (Norway rat). RNAcentral's name for it is "long non-coding RNA NONRATT015644". The record is from RNAcentral. Lineage: Eukaryota; Metazoa; Chordata; Mammalia; Rodentia; Muridae.